GAUGAACGCUGGCGGCGUGCCUAAUACAUGCAAGUCGAGCGAACAGACGAGGAGCUUGCUCCUCUGACGUUAGCGGCGGACGGGUGAGUAACACGUGGAUAACCUACCUAUAAGACUGGGAUAACUUCGGGAAACCGGAGCUAAUACCGGAUAAUAUAUUGAACCGCAUGGUUCAAUAGUGAAAGACGGUUUUGCUGUCACUUAUAGAUGGAUCCGCGCCGCAUUAGCUAGUUGGUAAGGUAACGGCUUACCAAGGCAACGAUGCGUAGCCGACCUGAGAGGGUGAUCGGCCACACUGGAACUGAGACACGGUCCAGACUCCUACGGGAGGCAGCAGUAGGGAAUCUUCCGCAAUGGGCGAAAGCCUGACGGAGCAACGCCGCGUGAGUGAUGAAGGUCUUCGGACCGUAAAACUCUGUUAUUAGGGAAGAACAAAUGUGUAAGUAACUAUGCACGUCUUGACGGUACCUAAGCAGAAAGCCACGGCUAACUACGU
Molecule: ribosomal RNA, 496 nt
Filed under: uncultured bacterium
Lineage: Bacteria
Description: partial 16S ribosomal RNA
Rfam family: Bacterial small subunit ribosomal RNA
Source: RNAcentral